CCCCUCUCAGGGUCGCACCUGGAGAGUUUCCAGUCUCUGCCAGUCUCGAUUAAGGGAGGGAGAGUCGAGCAGAGGCCUGCCCAUUCCAUUCCUGGCUUGGCCAGUGGCGAGCGAGUGGAAGGCCAUCUGCUACAAGU
This 137-nucleotide small nucleolar RNA is filed under the name Ornithorhynchus anatinus (platypus). Lineage: Eukaryota; Metazoa; Chordata; Mammalia; Monotremata; Ornithorhynchidae. The record is from RNAcentral.